Molecule: ribosomal RNA, 483 nt
Filed under: uncultured bacterium
Lineage: Bacteria
Description: partial 16S ribosomal RNA
Rfam family: Bacterial small subunit ribosomal RNA
Source: RNAcentral
AUUGAACGCUGGCGGCAGGCCUAACACAUGCAAGUCGAGCGGAUGAAGGGAGCUUGCUCCUGGAUUCAGCGGCGGACGGGUGAGUAAUGCCUAGGAAUCUGCCUGGUAGUGGGGGAUAACGUCCGGAAACGGGCGCUAAUACCGCAUACGUCCUGAGGGAGAAAGUGGGGGAUCUUCGGACCUCACGCUAUCAGAUGAGCCUAGGUCGGAUUAGCUAGUUGGUGGGGUAAAGGCCUACCAAGGCGACGAUCCGUAACUGGUCUGAGAGGAUGAUCAGUCACACUGGAACUGAGACACGGUCCAGACUCCUACGGGAGGCAGCAGUGGGGAAUAUUGAACAAUGGGCGAAAGCCUGAUCCAGCCAUGCCGCGUGUGUGAAGAAGGUCUUCGGAUUGUAAAGCACUUUAAGUUGGGAGGAAGGGCAGUAAGUUAAUACCUUGCUGUUUUGACGUUACCAACAGAAUAAGCACCGGCUAACUUCGU